AUGCCAGACUCCUACGGGAGGCAGCAGUGGGGAAUAUUGGACAAUGGGGGGAACCCUGAUCCAGCGACGCCGCGUGAGUGAAGAAGUAUUUCGGUCUGUAAAGCUCUAUCAGCAGGGAAGAAAGAAAUGACGGUACCUGACUAAGAAGCCCCGGCUAACUACGUGCCAGCAGCCGCGGUAAUACGUAGGGGGCAAGCGUUAUCCGGAUUUACUGGGUGUAAAGGGAGCGUAGACGGCGAUGCAAGUCUGAAGUGAAAGGCGGGGGCCCAACCCCCGGACUGCUUUGGAAACUGUAUGGCUGGAGUGUCGGAGAGGCAGGCGGAAUUCCUAGUGUAGCGGUGAAAUGCGUAGAUAUUAGGAGGAACACCAGUGGCGAAGGCGGCCUGCUGGACGAUGACUGACGUUGAGGCUCGAAAGCGUGGGGAGCAAACAGGAUUAGAUACCCCCGUACA
RNAcentral lists this ribosomal RNA (452 nucleotides) under uncultured bacterium. Its description in RNAcentral is "bacterial SSU rRNA". It matches the Rfam family "Bacterial small subunit ribosomal RNA", at positions 328 to 794 of the family's 1533-position model. The record is from RNAcentral.